Molecule: ribosomal RNA, 498 nt
Filed under: uncultured bacterium
Lineage: Bacteria
Description: partial 16S ribosomal RNA
Rfam family: Bacterial small subunit ribosomal RNA
Source: RNAcentral
GAUGAACGCUGGCGGCGUGCCUAAUACAUGCAAGUCGAGCGAACGGACGAGAAGCUUGCUUCUCUGAUGUUAGCGGCGGACGGGUGAGUAACACGUGGAUAACCUACCUAUAAGACUGGGAUAACUUCGGGAAACCGGAGCUAAUACCGGAUAAUAUUUUGAACCGCAUGGUUCAACAGUGAAAGACGGUCUUGCUGUCACUUAUAGAUGGAUGCGCGCUGCAUUAGCUAGUUGGUAAGGUAACGGGUUACCAAGGCAACGAUGGAUAGCCGGACCUGGAGGGUUGACCGGCCCAACGGGAACUGGAACACGGUCAAGACUCUAACGGAGGCCAGCGUUAGGAAACUUCCGACAAUGGCGGAAGGCCGGCGGCGCAAAGGCGGGUGGGUGGAGAAAGUUCUUGGGAUCGUAAGAUUCGUUGAAUGGGGAGGAAGAGAGUGAGAGUGGAAAGUUCACACCGUGACGGUACCUUGACAGAAAGCGACGGCUAACUACGUG